RNAcentral lists this ribosomal RNA (180 nucleotides) under uncultured Glomeromycotina. Its description in RNAcentral is "partial small subunit ribosomal RNA". The stretch from base 44 to 180 matches the Rfam family "Eukaryotic small subunit ribosomal RNA", at positions 691 to 830 of the family's 1831-position model. Lineage: Eukaryota; Fungi; Glomeromycota. The record is from RNAcentral.
GGGUUCUACCGUUGGUCGGGCUAUAGUCUGUACUGGCGUGUGGAAUUUCUACCUUCUGGGGAACUAUCAUGUUAUUAAUUUAGCGUGGUAGGAAACCAGAACCUUUACCUUGAAAAAAUUAGAGUGUUCAAAGCAGGCCUAUGCUCGAAUACAUUAGCAUGGAAUAAUAGAAUAGGACGG